UGGGGAAUAUUGCACAAUGGGCGCAAGCCUGAUGCAGCCAUGCCGCGUGUAUGAAGAAGGCCUUCGGGUUGUAAAGUACUUUCAGUCGGGAGGAAGGUGGUAAGGUUAAUAACCUUAUCAAUUGACGUUACCGACAGAAGAAGCACCGGCUAACUCCGUGCCAGCAGCCGCGGUGAUACGGAGGGUGCAAGCGUUAAUCGGAAUUACUGGGCGUAAAGCGCACGCAGGCGGUUGAUUGAGUCAGAUGUGAAAUCCCCGGGCUUAACCCGGGAAUUGCAUCUGAUACUGGCAAGCUUGAGUCUCGUAGAGGGGGGUAGAAUUCCAGGUGUAGCGGUGAAAUGCGUAGAGAUCUGGAGGAAUACCGGUGGCGAAGGCGGCCCCCUGGACGAAGACUGACGCUCAGGUGCGAAAGCGUGGGGAGCAAACAGG
This 429-nucleotide ribosomal RNA is filed under the name Chloroflexota bacterium. RNAcentral describes it as "Chloroflexi bacterium partial 16S ribosomal RNA". It matches the Rfam family "Bacterial small subunit ribosomal RNA", at positions 355 to 776 of the family's 1533-position model. The record is from RNAcentral. Lineage: Bacteria; Bacillati; Chloroflexota.